UGUGGUGCGUCUUAUCCGUGAAAACGAGCUCACUCUCUCUCUCUCUCUCUCUCUUCCAAGCAAAGAGACAAGAAGAUAGUCAUCUUCUCCCUACUCUCUUUGUCUCUCGCUCGCUCUCUGAAAGCCUUUCUUCUCCCGGGAUUGACUUUACUUUGAGACACUGGGUUUGGGGGAGAAAACCCAUCACUCAAUUUCCUUCUUCAGCAUAGCAGAAGAUGAAUAUAGAAGGGAUCUAACAAUUGACAGGUAGGUUUUGAAAUGGGAUUUGAGUUGGCGAAAUAGGACAACCGAACAUCACUUCCAAAUGCUAAGAAAAAGAUGAUGACCAUUGCUUUUAGCAUCAAUCAUAGUCCUCUAAAUAUCAACCAAGAAGAAUCUCUGCAACUUCUUCAAUUAAACGUACAAAAAAAGGGGAAAGGCCCUGCAUCUGUUGCUGCUGCCUGCUAAGUUUGCCAAGGGGCUAUUGGAGAAUUAAGCAUAGACAGCUGGAAUGAGAGAUGCUGAUCAAGCAAAGGAGCGAGACAAGCGAGGGUGGUUCAUCGCAUGAUCAAAAAUGCAUAUUUUUAAUUCAUGGCAAGUAUUUUUUAUAUGAAACAAGCUAGAUGUAAACCAAAAAUUGGUGUUAUGUUCUGUGUUGUUUUGUUUGGUAAGGAAAUACAAUGUUCUUGACCAAAAAACAGAAGCAGUACAAUAAAAAAAAUUUCAUUCUAUAGAUAUAAAUUUUAUUUUUGUGUC
This is a long non-coding RNA of Ziziphus jujuba (common jujube), 735 nucleotides long. RefSeq lists it as uncharacterized. The record is from RefSeq and is a predicted model, not a curated record. NCBI's taxonomy places the organism in Eukaryota, Viridiplantae, Streptophyta, Magnoliopsida, Rosales, Rhamnaceae. The transcript is spliced from 4 exons.